CCUACGGGAGGCAGCAGUGAGGAAUAUUGGUCAAUGGACGAGAGUCUGAACCAGCCCAGUAGCGUGAAGGAUGACUGCCCUAUGGGUUGUAAACUUCUUUUAUAAAGGAAUAAAACGAGGCACGUGUGCCUUUUUGCAUGUACUUUAUGAAUAAGGAUCGGCUAACUCCGUGCCAGCAGCCGCGGUAAUACGGAGGAUCCGAGCGUUAUCCGGAUUUAUUGGGUUUAAAGGGAGCGGAGAUGGGUUGUUAAGUCAGUUGUGAAAGUUUGCGGCUCAACCGUAAAAUUGCAAUUGAUACUGGCAGUCGUGAGUACAGUUGAGGUAGGCGGAAUUCGUGGUGUAGCGGUGAAAUGCUUAGAUAUCACGAAGAACCCCGAUUGCGAAGGCAGCUUACUAAACUGUGACUGACAUUGAUGCUCGAAAGUGUGGGUAUCAAACAGGAUUAGAUACCCCAGUAGUC
RNAcentral lists this ribosomal RNA (460 nucleotides) under uncultured bacterium. RNAcentral describes it as "partial 16S ribosomal RNA". It matches the Rfam family "Bacterial small subunit ribosomal RNA", at positions 338 to 795 of the family's 1533-position model. The record is from RNAcentral.